This is a long non-coding RNA of Mirounga angustirostris (Northern elephant seal), 2556 nucleotides long. RefSeq lists it as uncharacterized. The transcript has 2 exons. NCBI's taxonomy places the organism in Eukaryota, Metazoa, Chordata, Mammalia, Carnivora, Phocidae. The record is from RefSeq and is a predicted model, not a curated record.
CUACCCUCUUCGCGGCCGCCCGGGUCCUGAUUGGGCGCGGCCCGGGCUCCUCGGUGCUGACUGGCGCUGCCAAGGACUCGUCACCGCUCCUUCCCGCCCCUUCGCGCAGCGUGCCGGGCCCCUGGCUAGCAAGCUGGCUCUGCUGCAAGGUACCGAGACAGUCUCCGAGGAUCAGAGUCUUAGCACUCAUCUUCUCUCCGCGAACCCCACGUCGCUAGAGUGGGCCGUUGUGACAUCCUUAGAGCUCAGGACACUUUACAGAGAGUUACGUGGGCAGGUGGCCUGUCGCAGGCUGGAAAUGCGGAAGCCUCUUGGUAAAAGGGCAGCAGAAUGGAGUUACUUAGGGCAGAUGCCCCAGUUCGGCUAGUAGCUGUCCGACUCCCUUGACUCAAAGGUAACAGCGUGAGAAGGUGAACAAGUUUCCUGAAACCUACUUCGCACCACCCAUGAGCACCCUGGCUAAAUGACCUCGAAGGACAUUAUUAUUCUGUACCCAAAAAUGAAACUGUUGGAUGUCCAGUAGGAGAACCUUACACUAAAUUGUUUCCUUAAUUUUUUUACAGUUACAUUAAUACCUUAGGGACAAGAAAAAAAUAUUGAUACAAAAGGAGUUGUGCUCAUUCCAAGAUAAUGCAUUUAGGAAUUUUACUCUUACUGUAGCUAUUUGAGCAAUUGUAGGUGUUCUUAAUAAAAAGUGUUUCUCCAAAAAGAAAAAAAUUAAGCUUUACUGGACGCUGAAAUUUAGAUCUAUCCCGUCCAGACUGUCUGAUUUUACUCUGGGGAUUCCUAUUGAUAUUUCUUUUCCCUUGAAAGCAAGUAAGGAGAAGGGGUAUAUAACAAAAUAGUAUUUGAAGCUUUGUUGAGUCAGGCUUUUCUCAAUGAUGUGAGGAGGUAUGGGGAAAGAGGUUGAACUUUCCUACUGUCUUGCUUCCGUUGAUUAAAAGCUUAGCUCUUCUGCUGGUUUGGGGGUUUGGGGUUUUUUUUUUUUUUUUCUGUUUUUGUUUUGUUUAUCAAAAUGUAUUCUCAGGAACUCCAGCUGAGCCACUCUAAUCUAGCCAUUUUUCUCCAUCUCUAUUGCCUCUUUUCCUUCAGUACAUAAACACAAGUCCACCUUCAAAAAAGCUUUGGAAAAAAAAGACUUUUAACUCCUCUUUCCAGAUACCACCUUUCUCUUUCUUUUCAGAGCUAUGAUUUUGUUUAAGAGAAUGGCAUAAAUAAGCUUGCUGUCUCCAUUUCUGUGCCCACUUAUCAAUUCUUCCUCUUUAGAAUUUUAUAAAUCAGUUUGUUCUACACCAUUCUCUCUUCCACUUUUUUGUUUAGGUCCUAACAGUAUUCUAUAGCCUGACCUCCCUUCCAAUCUAUUAUCAACAAACUGUUUUUGCUUGUGUAUCUCCAGAACAAGUUGAAAAACUUUAUUCCCUUUGUAUAUUUUUAAGUUGACCCAAAAUUCUUCAUCAUGAGCUUGUCUUAUGUAAGUUAGCUUCUGCCUUUCAGACCCACCAAAACAUUGAGUAGGCCCAGCAAUAAUUCAUUAGUAAGACGGAAGUAGUACAUCCAGAAUUGGGUAUGAACAGGAUCAGAGGCACAAGUAAGCUAUACCAGCAGGUGGCCUAGACAUCCAUAUCAUCUACCAUUUUGGACCAAAGCCUCUCCAUCAGCCCAUACGUAUGGCUGCAUAGGAAGUGACAAAAGAGGAAAAAAAGCAAAACUUGAUUUGCAGACAGGUCAGAAUGGUAUGUGCGUACAAGCAGAAAAUGAACUGUGGCUGUACUGUAGCCCUACCCUGAGGUGAUCUUGAAAGACAGUGGCCAGGGAAAUUCUGCCAAUGAAUAAAUCCUCUCAGUGGUACACUUGGCCAUUCACUUUGUGUGGAAAGAAAUGUAACCAUAGUUAGAAUAUAUAUGGACUGGCAGUUGGCUUGGCUGGUUGAUUCGGGACCUGGCAGGAGAAAGAUUAGAAAGAUGAAGGAUGAGACGGUCUGGGAGACCCGUAUGUAUUUAGAUGGACUUUGUGAGUGGGCACGAAGUGUGCAGAUGCCCACCCGAGAGUAUCUACCAAGAAGGAGGCACUAAACAACCAAGUAGAAAGAAUGACUCACCAACUGAUGUCAGAUGCUAUCAGCCACUUCAGUACCAGCACAGUGGGCAUGUGAAUGGAGUAGCCAUAGUAGCAGGGAUGGGAGUAAUACAUGGACCCAAGAGCAUGGGUUCCCACUCAAAGGCUGAUGCCACUGCUGACUGUCUAGCCUUGCAGCAAUGAAUCCAAUGCUGAGCCCCCCAAAUGGCAGUAUUCCUCAAGGAGAGCAACCAGGUGCUUGACAACAUUGGAUACUUUCCACCCUGGAAAUGGCAUCAAUUUAUGUUGACUGGAAUGACUACAUUCUGGGUGUGGUUUGCCCCUUCUGUCUGUGGGGCCUCAGCCAGCACCAAUAUCUUCAGUGUUGAUUGAGUGUCUGACCCAUUGACAUAGGAUCCCACAUAAAAAUGCAUCAAACCAAAGGAUCCACUGCACAGCCUUGGAAGCAGGACAGUGGCACAUGACCAUGGGAUCCACUGG